AACAAAUUUAUAAGGGGUCACUACGGCGGCUGGGCAGAAGAGGAAGAUUGACCUGGCUUACCUAGUUGGUUGCUGGUUCUGCUCUGGCUCAGUCUUGAUGGCACACUUUAUUUUUCACAAGGCGACACCUCGUCAUCUUGUCACCUGUUGCCUCUCAGGUCCAGGGCAGCUGCCUUGCUUCAUUUGCCUCGCCUUGGCCUGGGGAGUUG
RNAcentral lists this unclassified non-coding RNA (209 nucleotides) under Hevea brasiliensis (rubber tree). Lineage: Eukaryota; Viridiplantae; Streptophyta; Magnoliopsida; Malpighiales; Euphorbiaceae. The record is from RNAcentral.